RNAcentral lists this ribosomal RNA (440 nucleotides) under uncultured bacterium. RNAcentral describes it as "partial 16S ribosomal RNA". It matches the Rfam family "Bacterial small subunit ribosomal RNA", at positions 338 to 795 of the family's 1533-position model. The record is from RNAcentral.
CCUACGGGUGGCAGCAGUGGGGGAUAUUGCACAAUGGGGGGAACCCUGAUGCAGCGACGCCGCGUGAGCGAAGAAGUACCUCGGUAUGUAAAGCUCUAUCAGCAGGGAAGAAAAUGACGGUACCUGACUAAGAAGCCCCGGCUAAAUACGUGCCAGCAGCCGCGGUAAUACGUAUGGGGCAAGCGUUAUCCGGAUUUACUGGGUGUAAAGGGAGCGCAGGCGGCCUGCCAAGUCUGGUGUGAAAACCCGGGGCCCAACCCCGGGCCUGCAUUGGAAACUGGCGGGCUGGAGUGUCGGAGGGGCAGGCGGAAUUCCUAGGGUAGCGGUGAAAUGCGUAGAUAUUAGGAGGAACACCGGUGGCGAAGGCAGCAUACCGGCGCUCAACUGACGCUCAUGCACGAAAGUGUGGGUAUCGAACAGGAUUAGAUACCCCUGUAGUC